RNAcentral lists this long non-coding RNA (438 nucleotides) under Brassica rapa (field mustard). RNAcentral describes it as "long non-coding RNA (BRAP_LNC005170)". The record is from RNAcentral. Lineage: Eukaryota; Viridiplantae; Streptophyta; Magnoliopsida; Brassicales; Brassicaceae.
ACAUCACUAUUUUUAUAAGCACAUAAUAUAAGGUAAUAGUAAGCAUGGGCGGGCCAGGAGAGAGGUGCAUAUAGGGUGGCUCACCAAAACCAUUUUCAGUUGAUGGGUCUGAUUCGCAUGAUUUAUUCCCACCCCUUUUAAGUUUUGUUGUCAUUAUUCAUUUGCAGUCUCAUCCAUUAAAAAGAAGUCUGCAAAAAAUAAUAGAAUUAAUUUACUACCAUGGCGAAGCCACCCGUUACAUUACCUACAUGUGGAGCUAUCCCAACGGUAAACAAUUUUAUAAAUAUUAUAAUUUUUUUGAUCUGUAACAAGUUGUAAAUGUUCCUUUUUAAUAUAUCUAUAGCCAUUUCACAUAAACGCAGGUUGGGCUGGAGAUUCAAAGAGUGACUAUUUUAGAAAAACAUUUCACUCGAGUCCUUGAAUCUAUAUGGGUUGGAG